Molecule: ribosomal RNA, 253 nt
Filed under: uncultured bacterium
Lineage: Bacteria
Also listed under: 1 other name
Description: partial 16S ribosomal RNA
Rfam family: Bacterial small subunit ribosomal RNA
Source: RNAcentral
GACGAACCGUGCGAACGUUGUUCGGAAUCACUGGGCUUAAAGGGCGCGUAGGCGGGCUGCCAAGUCCGGGGUGAAAGCCCCCCGCUCAACGGGGGAACGGCCUUGGAUACUGGCGGCCUGGAGGAAGGUAGGGGCAGAUGGAACUCUCGGUGGAGCGGUGAAAUGCGUAGAUAUCGGGAGGAACGCCGGUGGCGAAAGCGAUCUGCUGGACCUUUUCUGACGCUGAGGCGCGAAAGCCAGGGGAGCAAACGGG